RNAcentral lists this ribosomal RNA (488 nucleotides) under uncultured Flavobacterium sp. RNAcentral describes it as "bacterial SSU rRNA". It matches the Rfam family "Bacterial small subunit ribosomal RNA", at positions 9 to 523 of the family's 1533-position model. The record is from RNAcentral. Lineage: Bacteria; Pseudomonadati; Bacteroidota; Flavobacteriia; Flavobacteriales; Flavobacteriaceae.
GAGUUUGAUCUUGGCUCAGGAUGAACGCUGGCGGCGUGCUUAACACAUGCAAGUCGAACGGCGAUAGCAAUAUCGCAGUGGCGCACGGGUGAGGAACACGUAGCUUAUCUGCCCAGAAGAGUGGGAUAACGCUCCGAGAGGAGUGCUAAUACCGCAUAAGCUCCCGGGUUAUAGAGACCUGAGAGAAAAGGGGAAACUCGCUUCUGGAGGAGGCUGCGGCCCAUCAGGUAGUUGGUGCGGUAACGGCGCACCAAGCCAACGACGGGUAGGGGACCUGAGAGGGUGAUCCCCCACACUGGGACUGAGACACGGCCCAGACUCCUACGGGAGGCAGCAGUGAGGAAUAUUGCCCAAUGGAGGAAACUCUGAGGCAGCGACGCCGCGUGGGUGAUGAAGGCCUUCGGUCGUAAAGCCCUUUCUGCAUGACGAGCAAGGACGGUAGUGCAGGAAAAAGUACUCGGCUAACUACGUGCCAGCCGCCGCGGUAA